CGCAAUAAACGAGACUUGAUCAGAAACCUGUCUUGUCUCCAUCUCUCGUGUCCCCUGUCCUUUGUCAUUCUCACUCCCCCUCUAGGGUCUCCGUUGACUUACCCGCGGGCCGGGACAAGUGGCGCCCAGUGUGGGGCCAGAGAACGGGGGAUCCAGUGAAGAACGCUGCUCGGGGGCCCAAUAAAAUAAAAUAGAAAAAAGAGGAUUGCGUCUGACGUGAACCUGCUGUCUUUCCUGCACCUCGAUCCGGUGGUGGCUCAAGCCAUCCAGGUCGGGGAGAUAGCUCUCCGAUUGGAGGAAGGGUCGAUCACUCUCCCUCGGAGUGAGGAGUUUGUAAAUACCCUGCAGGACGCCAAGAUGGCGCCAAGGCCCGAGCCCCUGUGGGACGGGACUCCUUCAAAGGAUGAAGGAGAAGACUUGAUGUCUUUUGAUAGUGACGAUGACUCAGAUAAGAAAAAACAAAAUGUUAUUGAUGAGGGUUUACAGGCGGGCUCUGCCUCUUCCAAGCCUUUUAAAGAAAAGCUUCGGCGCUCCUCAGCUUCCACCUCCGCUCUUUCAGCCCCUGCCUCUGACCCUGCCCCACCUGUUAAGGAGGAACCAGCCUUGUAGCCUUCCCUCUGCCACCUCAGACACCCCCCCUUCCCACAAAACGGUCCGGGGGAGGCUGACUGGACCAAUCUUGAGGAGGAGGCAACCAGAUAUUGCAAUCCUGAUUGGCCACCCGUAGUUCAAUGUCUGCCUCCUUAUCUUCCAGAACCCAACACUCCCAUUGCGCCUGCUUUGACAUGCCCUGUUGUUGAUCCCCAAAAGGAACUCCAGGACAAGAUAAAAUUUCUAAAAGAACAAAUAAGAUUAGAAAAGGAACAUCAAGAACUUAUUGCCCAGCUCAAAGGCUUAAGAACAGGCAAAGCCCAUGAAAAUGUCCGUAGAGAGGACAAAUUUAAGCCACGACCCCCCAUUAGAGGGGUGACCCCUAGGGUGCCAUCCGGGUCGGGAGUAUCCCUAAAACUUGAAAAUGCGGAAGCCUUUCCC
This is a non-coding RNA of Heterocephalus glaber (naked mole-rat), 1032 nucleotides long. NCBI's taxonomy places the organism in Eukaryota, Metazoa, Chordata, Mammalia, Rodentia, Bathyergidae. The record is from RefSeq and is a predicted model, not a curated record.